AACACUUAGGCAAAAAGUCGAAAAAGGGGUCAAAACUAGCAUCGGUCGUCCGAAUGACACGCAAACACACUAAUAGCAUCGCGUAGGUAAUAGACACGCGUUAGAACUUACGGGAUUCGAUUCCGACAUACGGAGACCGAGUUAUCGCGGAGUUUGCAAAACUCGCCAACACUUGGGCAAAAAGUCGAAAAAGAGGUCAAAACCCGCAUCUGCCGUCCGAAUGACACGAAUACACACAUAUAGCACCGUGCAGGUAAUAGACACGCGUUAGAACUUACGGGACUCGAUUCUGACAUACGGAGACCGAGUUAUCGCCCAGUUUGCAAAACUCGCCAAGACUUAGGCAAAAAGUUGAAAAAGAGGUCAAAACUCGCAUCGGCCGUCCGAAUGACACGCAAACACACACAUAGAACCGCGUGGGUAAUAGACACGCAUUAGAACUUACGGUACUCGAUUCCGACAUACGGAGACCGAGUUAUCGCCCAAUUUGUAAAACCGGCCAACACUUAGGCAAAAAGCUGAAAAAGAGGUCAAAGACCCGCAUCGGCCGUUCGAAUGACACGGAAACACACACAUAACACCGCGUAGGUAAUAGACAUGCAUUAGAACUUACGGGACUCGAUUCCGACAUACGGAGACUGAGUUAUUGCCUAGUUUGCAAAACUCGCCAACACUUAGGCAAAAAGUUAAAAAAGGGGUCAAAACUCGCAUCGGUAGUCCGAAUGACACGCAAACACACUAAUAGCACCGCGUAGGUAAUAGAAAUGCGUUAGAACUUACGGGACUCGAUUCCGACAUACGGAGACCGAGUCAUCGCGGAGUUUAAAAAACUCGCCAACACUUGGGCAAAAAGCCGAAAAAGAGGUCAAAACCCGCAUCUGCCGUCCGAAUGACACGAAUACACACAUAUAGCACCGCGUUGGUAAUAGACACGCGUUAGAACUUACGGGAUUCGAUUCUGACAUACGGAGACCGAGUUAUUGCCCAGUUUGCAAAACUCGCCAACACUUAGGUAAAAAGCCGAAAAAGAGGUCAAAACUCACAUCGGCCGUCCGAAUGACAUGCAAACACACACAUAGAACCGCGUGGGUAAUAGACACGCAUUAGAACUUACGGGACUCGAUUCCGACAUACGGAGACCAAGUUAUCGCCCAAUUUGUGAAACUCGCCAACACUUAGGCAAAAAGCUGAAAAGAGGUCAAAAACCCGCAUCGGCCGUUCGAAUGACACGCAAACACACACAUAACACCGCGUAGGUAAUAGACAUGCAUUAGAACUUACGGGACUCGAUUCCGACAUACGGAGACUGAGUUAUCGCCCAGUUUGCAAAACUCGCCAACACUUAGGCGAAAAGUCAAAAAAAGGGUCAAAACUCGCAUCGGUAGUCCGAAUGACACGCAAACACACUAAUAGCACCGCGUAGGUAAUAGACACGCGUUAGAACUUACGGGACUCGAUUCCGACAUACGGAGACCGAGUUAUCGCGGAUUUUGCAAAACUCGCCAACACUCGGGCAAAAAGCCGAAAAAGAGGUCAAAACCCGCAUCUGCCGUCCGAAUGACACGAAUACAGACAUAUAGCACCGUGCAGGUAAUAGACAUGCGUUAGAACUUACGGGACUCGAUUCUGACAUACGAAGACCGAGUUAUUGCCCAGUUUGCAAAACUCCCCAAUACUUAGGCAAAAAGACGAAAAAGAGGUCAAAACUUGCAUCGGCCAUCCGAAUGACAUGCAAACACACACAUAGAACUGCGUGGGUAAUAGACACGCAUUAGAACUUACGGGACUCGAUUCCGACAUACGGAGACCGAGUUAUCGCCUAGUUUGCAAAACUCGCCAACACUUAGGAAAAAAGACAAAAAAUAGGUCAAAACCUGCAUCGGUCGUCUGAAUGACACGCAAACACACACAUAACACCGCGUAGGUAAUAGUCAUGCAUUAGAACUUACGGGACUCGAUUCCGACAUACGGAGACUGAUUUAUCGCCCAGUUUGAAAAACUUGCCAACACUUAGGCAAAAAGACGAAAAAUAGGUCAAAACCCGCAUCGGCCGUCCGAAUGACACGCAAACACACACAUAGCACCGCGUAGGUAAUUGACACGCAUAAGAACUUACGGGAUUCGAUUCCGACAUACGGAGACUGAGUUAUCGCCAAGUUUGCAAAACUCGCAAACACUUAGGCAAAAAGCAAAAAAAGAGGUCAAAACUCGCAUCGGCCAUCCGAAUGACAUGCAAACACACACAUAGAACCGCGUAGGUAAUUGACACGCAUUAGAACUAAUGGGACUCGAUUCCGACAUACGAAGACUGAGUUAUCGCCCAGUUUGCAAAACUCGCCAAGACUUAGGCAAGAAGCCAAAAAAGAGGUCAAAACCCGCAUCGGCCGUCCGAAUGACACGCAAACACAUACAUAGCACCGCGUAGGUAAUUGACACGCAUUAGAACUAAUGGGACUCGAUUCCGACAUACGAAGACUGAGUUAUCGCCCAGUUUGCAAAACUCGCCAAGACUUAGGCAAGAAGCCAAAAAAGAGGUCAAAACCCGCAUCGGCCGUCCGAAUGACACGCAAACACAUACAUAGCACCGCGUAGGUAAUUGACACGCAUUAGAACUAAUGGGACUCGAUUCCGACAUACGAAGACUGAGUUAUCGCCCAGUUUGCAAAACUCGCCAAGACUUAGGCAAGAAGCCAAAAAAGAGGUCAAAACCCGCAUCGGCCGUCCGAAUGACACGCAAACACAUACAUAGCACCGCGUAGGUAAUUGACACGCAUUAGAACUAAUGGGACUCGAUUCCGACAUACGAAGACUGAGUUAUCGCCCAGUUUGCAAAACUCGCCAAGACUUAGGCAAGAAGCCAAAAAAGAGGUCAAAACCCGCAUCGGCCGUCCGAAUGACACACAAACACACACAUAGCACCGCGUAGGUAAUAGACACGCGUUAGAACUUACGGGACUCGAUUUCGACAUACGAAGACUGAGUUAUCGCCCAAUUUGCAAAACUCGCCAACACUUAAGCAAAAAGUUAAAAAAGGGGUCAAAACUCGCAUCGGUCGUCCGAAUGACACACCAACACACUAAUAGAACCGCGUAGGUAAUAGACACGCGUUAGAACUUACGGGACUUGAUUCCGACAUACGGAGACUGAGUUAUCGCCCAGUUUGCAAAACUCGCCAACACUUGGGCAAAAAGACGAAAAAGAGGUCAAAACCCGCAUCGGCUGUCCGAAUGACACACAAACACUCACAUAGCACCGCGUAGGUAAUAGACACGCGAUAGAACUUACGGGACUCGAUUCCGACAUACGAAGACUGAGUUAUCGCCCAGUUUGCAAAACUCGCCAACACUUAGGCAGAAAGCCUAAAAAGAGGUCAAAACCCGCAUCUGCCGUCCGAAUGACACACAAACACACACAUAUAGCACCGUGUAGGUAAUAGACACGCCUUAGAACUUAAAGGACUCGAUUCUGACGUACGGAGACCGAGUUAUUGCCCAGUUUGCAAAACUCGCCAACACUUAGGCAAAAAGUCGAAAAGAGGUCAAAACCCGCAUCGGCCGUCCGAAUGACACGCAAACACACUAAUAGCACCGCGUAGGUAAGAGACACGCGUUAGAACUUAUGGGACUCGAUUUUGACAUAUGGAGACCGAGUUAUCGCCCAAUUUGCAAAACUCGCCAACACUUAGGCAGAAAGCCUAAAAGAGGUCAAAACCCGCAUCGGCCGUCCGAAUGACACGCAAACACACUAAUAGCACCGCGUAGGUAAGAGACACGCGUUAGAACUUAUGGGACUCGAUUUUGACAUAUGGAGACCGAGUUAUCGCCCAAUUUGCAAAACUCGCCAACACUUAGGCAGAAAGCCUAAAAGAGGUCAAAACCCGCAUCGGCCGUCCGAAUGACACGCAAACACACUAAUAGCACCGCGUAGGUAAGAGACACGCGUUAGAACUUAUGGGACUCGAUUUUGACAUAUGGAGACCGAGUUAUCGCCCAAUUUGCAAAACUCGCCAACACUUAGGCAGAAAGCCUAAAAGAGGUCAAAACCCGCAUCGGCCGUCCGAAUGACACGCAAACACACUAAUAGCACCGCGUAGGUAAGAGACACGCGUUAGAACUUAUGGGACUCGAUUUUGACAUAUGGAGACCGAGUUAUCGCCCAAUUUGCAAAACUCGCCAACACUUAGGCAGAAAGCCUAAAAGAGGUCAAAACCCGCAUCGGCCGUCCGAAUGACACGCAAACACACUAAUAGCACCGCGUAGGUAAGAGACACGCGUUAGAACUUAUGGGACUCGAUUUUGACAUAUGGAGACCGAGUUAUCGCCCAAUUUGCAAAACUCGCCAACACUUAGGCAGAAAGCCUAAAAGAGGUCAAAACCCGCAUCGGCCGUCCGAAUGACACGCAAACACACUAAUAGCACCGCGUAGGUAAGAGACACGCGUUAGAACUUAUGGGACUCGAUUUUGACAUAUGGAGACCGAGUUAUCGCCCAAUUUGCAAAACUCGCCAACACUUAGGCAGAAAGCCUAAAAGAGGUCAAAACCCGCAUCGGCCGUCCGAAUGACACGCAAACACACUAAUAGCACCGCGUAGGUAAGAGACACGCGUUAGAACUUAUGGGACUCGAUUUUGACAUAUGGAGACCGAGUUAUCGCCCAAUUUGCAAAACUCGCCAACACUUAGGCAGAAAGCCUAAAAGAGGUCAAAACCCGCAUCGGCCGUCCGAAUGACACGCAAACACACUAAUAGCACCGCGUAGGUAAGAGACACGCGUUAGAACUUAUGGGACUCGAUUUUGACAUAUGGAGACCGAGUUAUCGCCCAAUUUGCAAAACUCGCCAACACUUAGGCAGAAAGCCUAAAAGAGGUCAAAACCCGCAUCGGCCGUCCGAAUGACACGCAAACACACUAAUAGCACCGCGUAGGUAAGAGACACGCGUUAGAACUUAUGGGACUCGAUUUUGACAUAUGGAGACCGAGUUAUCGCCCAAUUUGCAAAACUCGCCAACACUUAGGCAGAAAGCCUAAAAGAGGUCAAAACCCGCAUCGGCCGUCCGAAUGACACGCAAACACACUAAUAGCACCGCGUAGGUAAGAGACACGCGUUAGAACUUAUGGGACUCGAUUUUGACAUAUGGAGACCGAGUUAUCGCCCAAUUUGCAAAACUCGCCAACACUUAGGCAGAAAGCCUAAAAGAGGUCAAAACCCGCAUCGGCCGUCCGAAUGACACGCAAACACACUAAUAGCACCGCGUAGGUAAGAGACACGCGUUAGAACUUAUGGGACUCGAUUUUGACAUAUGGAGACCGAGUUAUCGCCCAAUUUGCAAAACUCGCCAACACUUAGGCAAAAAGUCGAAAAAGGGGUCAAAACUCGCAUCGGACUCGAUUCCGACAUACCGAAACUGAGUUAUCGCCCAGUUUGCAAAACUCGCCAACACUUAGGCAAAAAGACAAAAAAUAGGUCAAAACCCGCAUCGGCUGUCUGAAUGACACACAAACACACACAUAGCACCGCGUAGGUAAUAGACACGCGUUAGAACUUACGGGACUCGAUUCCGACAUACGGAGACUGAGUUAUCGCCCAGUUUGCAAAACUCGCCAACACUUAGGCAAAAAGACGAAAAAGGGGUCAAAACUCGCAUCGGUUGUCCGAAUGACACGCCAACACACUAAUAGCACCGCGUAGGUAAUAUACACGCAUUAGAACUUACGGGACUCGAUUCCGACAUACGGAGACCGAGUUAUCGCCGAGUUUGCAAAACUCGCCAACACUUAGGCAAAAAGCCAAAAAAGAGGUCAAAACCCGCAUCUGCCGUCCCAAUGACACGCAAACACACAUAUAGCACCGUGUAGGUAAUAGACACGCGUUAGAACUUACGGGACUCGAUUCAGACAUACGGGGACUAAGUUAUCGCCCAGUUUGAAAAACUCGCCAACAUUUAGGCAAAAAGUCGAAAAAGGGGUCAAAACUCGCAUCGUUCGUCCGAAUGACACGCAAACACACUAAUAGCACCGCGUAGGUAAUAGACACACGUUAGAACUUACGGGACUCGAUUCCGACAUACAAAGACUGAGUUAUCGCGGAGUUUGCAAAACUCGCCAACACUUGGGCAAAAAGACGAAAAAGAGGUCAAAACCCGCAUCUGCCGUCGAAUGACACGAAUACACACAUAUAGCACCGUGCAGGUAAUAGACACGCAUUAGAACUUACGGGACUCGAUUCUGACAUACGGAGACCGAGUUAUUGCCCAGUUUGCAAAACUCGCCAACACUUAGGCAAAUAGCCGAAAAAGAGGUCAAAACUCACAUCGGGCAUCCGAAUGACAUACAAACACACACAUAGAACUGCGUAGGUAAUAGACACGCAUUAGAACUUACGGGACUCGAUUCCGACAUACGGAGACCGAGUUAUCGCGGAGUUUGCAAAACUCACCAACACUUAGGCAAAAAGCCGAAAAAGAGGUCAAAACCCGCAUCGGCCGUCCGAAUGACACGCAAACACACUAAUAGCACCGCGUAGGUAAUAGACACGCGUUAGAACUUAGUUAUUGCCCAGUUUGCAAAACUCGCCAACACUUAAGCAAAAAGUCGAAAAAGGGGUCAAAACGCGCAUCGGUCGUCCGAAUGACAUGCCAACACACUAAUAGCACCGCUUAGGGAAUAGACACGUGUUAGAACUUAUGGGACUCGAUUUUGACAUACGGAGACCGAGUUAUCGCGGAGUUUGCAAAACUCACCAACACUUAGGCAAAAAGCCGAAAAAGAGGUCAAAACCCGCAUCGGCCGUCCGAAUGACACGCAAACACACUAAUAGCACCGCGUAGGUAAUAGACACGCGUUAGAACUUAGUUAUUGCCCAGUUUGCAAAACUCGCCAACACUUAAGCAAAAAGUCGAAAAAGGGGUCAAAACGCGCAUCGGUCGUCCGAAUGACAUGCCAACACACUAAUAGCACCGCUUAGGGAAUAGACACGUGUUAGAACUUAUGGGACUCGAUUUUGACAUACGGAGACCGAGUUAUCGCGGAGUUUGCAAAACUCACCAACACUUAGGCAAAAAGCCGAAAAAGAGGUCAAAACCCGCAUCGGCCGUCCGAAUGACACGCAAACACACACAUAGCAUCGCGUAGGUAAUAGACACGCGUUAGAACUUACGGGACUUGAUUCCGACAUACGGAGACCGAGUUAUCGCGGAGUUUGCAAAACUCACCAACACUUAGGCAAAAAGCCGAAAAAGAGGUCAAAACCCGCAUCUGCCGUCCGAAUGACACACAAACACACAUAUAGCACCGUGUAGGUAAUAGACACGCCUUAGAACUUACGGGACUCGAUUCUGACGUACGGAGACCGAGUUAUUGCCCAGUUUGCAAAACUCGCCAAUACUUAGGCAAAAAGUCGAAAAAGGGGUCAAAACGCGCAUCGGUCGUCCGAAUGACAUGCCAACACACUAAUAGCACCGCUUAGGUAAUAGACACGUGUUAGAACUUAUGGGACUCGAUUUUGACAUAUGGAGACCGAGUUAUCGCCCAAUUUGCAAAACUCGCCAACAAUUAGGCAAAAUCCUGAAAAAGAGGUCAAAAACCCGCAUCGGCCGAUCGAAUGACACACAAACACACACAUAACACCGCGUAGGUAAUAGACAUGCAUUAGAACUUACGGGACUCGAUUCCGACAUACAGAGACUGAGUUAUCGCCCAGUUUGCAAAACUCGCCAACACUUAGGCAAAAAGUCAAAAAAGGGGUAAAAACCCGCAUCGUCCGUCUGAAUGACACGCAAACACACUAAUAGCACAGCGUAGGUAAUAGACACGCGUUAGAACUUACGGGAUUCGAUUCCGACAUACGGAGACCGAGUUAUCGCGGAGUUUGCAAAACUCGCCAACACUUAGGCAAAAAGCCGAAAAAGAGGUCAAAACCCGAAUCUGCCGUCCGAAUGACACGCAAACACACAUAUAGCACCGUGUAGGUAAUAGACACGCGUUAGAACUUACGGGACUCGAUUCUGACGUACGGAGACUGAGUUAUUGCCCAGUUUACAAAACUCGCCAAUAUUUAGGCAAAAAGCCAAGAAAGAGGUCAAAACUCGCAUCGGCCGUCCGAAUGACAUGCAAACACACACAUAGAACCGCGUGGGUAAUAGACACGCAUUAGAACUUACGGGACUCGAUUCCGACAUACGGAGACCGAGUUAUCGCCCAAUUUGCAAAACUCGCCAACACUUAGGCAAAAAGCCGAAAAAGGGGUCAAAACUCGCAUCGGUAGUUCGAAUGACACGCAAACACACUAAUAGCACCACGUAGGUAAUAGACACGCGUUAGAACUUACGGGACUCGAUUCCGACAUACGGAGACCGAGUUAUCGCGGAGUUUGGAAAAUACGCCAACACUUGGGCAAAAAGCCGAAAAAGUGGUCAAAACCCGCAUCUGCCGUCCGAAUGACACGAAUACAAACAUAUAGCACCGUGCAGGGAAUAGACACGCGUUAGAACUUACGGGACUCGAUUCUGACAUACGGAGUCCGAGUUAUUGCCCAGUUUGCAAAACUCGCCAACACUUAGGCAAAAAGUCGAAAAGAGGUCAAAACUCGCAUCGGUCGUCCGAAUGACAUGCAAACACACACAUAGAACCGCGUAGGUAAUAGACACGCGUUAGAACUUACGGGAUUCGAUUCCGACAUAAGGAGACCGAGUUAUCACCCAGUUUGCAAAACUCGCUAACACUUAGGCAAAAAGCCGAAAAAGAGGUCAAAACCCGCAUCGGUCGUCUGAAUGACACGCAAACACACCAAUCGCACCGCGUAGGUAAUAGACAUGCAUUAGAACUUACGGGACUCGAUUCUGACAUACGGAGACCGAGUUAUCGCGGAGUUUGCAAAACUCGCCAACACUUAGGCAAAUAGUCGAAAAAGAGGUCAAAACCCGCAUCGGUCGUCUGAAUGACACGCAAACACACCAAUCGCACCGCGUAGGUAAUAGACAUGCAUUAGAACUUACGGGACUCGAUUCUGACAUACGGAGACCGAGUUAUCGCGGAGUUUGCAAAACUCGCCAACACUUAGGCAAAUAGUCGAAAAAGAGGUCAAAACCCGCAUCGGUCGUCUGAAUGACACGCAAACACACCAAUCGCACCGCGUAGGUAAUAGACAUGCAUUAGAACUUACGGGACUCGAUUCUGACAUACGGAGACCGAGUUAUCGCGGAGUUUGCAAAACUCGCCAACACUUAGGCAAAAAGACGAAAAAUAGGUCAAAACCCGCAUCGGUCGUCUGAAUGACACGCAAACACACACAUAACACCGCGUAGUUAAUAGUCAUGCAUUAGAACUUACGGGACUCCAUUCCGACAUACGGAAACUGAGUUAUCGCCCAGUUUGCAAAACUCGCCAACACUUAGGCAAAUAGACGAAAAAUAGGUCAAAACCCGCAUCGGCCGUCUGAAUGACACGCAAACACACACAUAGCACCGCGUAGGUAAUAGACACGCGUUAGAACUUACGGGACUCGAUUCUGAUAUACGGAGACUGGGUUAUCGCCCAGUUUGCAAAACUCGUCAACACUUAGGCAAAAAGUCGAAAAAGGGGUCAAAACUCGCAUCGGUCGUCCGAAUGACACGCCAACACACUAAUAGUACCGCGUAGGUAAUAGACACGCGUUAGAACUUACGGGACUCGAUUCCGACAUAAGGAGACCGAGUUAUCACCCAGUUUGCAAAACUCGCCAACACUUAGGCAAAAAGCCAAAAAAGAGGUCAAAACUCUCAUCGGUCGUCUGAAUGACACACAAAUACACACAUAGCACCGCGUAGGUAAUUGACACGCGUUAGAACUUACGGGACUCGAUUCUGACUUACGGAGACCGAGUUAUCGCACAGUUUGCAAAACUCGUCAUCACUUAGGUAAAAAGUCAAAAAAGAGAUCAAAACCCGUAUCGGCCGUCCGAAUGAGACGCAAACACACACAUAGCACCGCAUAGGUAAUAGACAUGCCUUAGAACUUACGGGACUCAAUUCUGACAUACGGAGACUGAGUUAUCGCCCAGUUUGCAAAACUCGCCAACACUUAGGCAAAAAGUCGAAAACGGGGUCAAAACUCGCAUCGGUCGUCCGAAUGACACGCAAACACACCAAUAGCACCGCGUAGGUAAUAGACACGCGUUAGACCUUACGGGACUCGAUUCCGACAUAUGGAGACCGAGUUAUCGCGAAGUUUGUAAAACUCGCCAACACUUAGACAAAAAGCUGAAAAAGAGGUCAAAACCCGCAUCGGCUGUCCGAAUGACACGCAAACACACACAUAGCACCGCGUAGGUAAUAGACACGCGUUAGAAUUUACGGGACUUGAUUUCGACAUACGGAGACCGAGUUAUCGCCCAGUUUGCAAAACUCGGCAACACUCAGGCAAAAAGCCGAAAAAGAGGUCAAAACCCGCAUCGGCUGUCCGAAUGACACGCAAACACACACAUAGCACUGCGUAGGUAAUAGACACGCGUUAAAACUUACGUGACUCGAUUCCGACAUACGGAGACCGAGUUAUCGCCCAGUUUGCAAAACUCGGCAACACUCAGGCAAAAAGCCGAAAAAGAGGUCAAAACCCGCAUCGACCGUCUGAAUGACACGCAAACACACACAUAGCACUGCGUAGGUAAUAGACACGCAUUACAACUUACGGGACUCGAUUCCGACAUACGGAGACCGAGUUAUCGCCCAGUUUGCAAAACUCGCCAACACUUAGGCAAAAAGCCGAAAAAGAGGUCAAAACCCGCAUCGGAUGUCUGAAUGACACGUAAACACACACAUAGCACCGCGUAGGUAAUAGACACGCAUUAGAACUUACGGGACUCGAUUCCGACAUACGGAGUACGACUUAUCGCCAAGUUUGCAAAACUCGCCAACACUUAGGUAAAAAGACGAAAAAGAGGUCAAAACUCGCAUCGACUGUCCGAAUGACACGCAAACACACACAUAGCACCGCGUAGGUAAUAGACACGCGUUAGAACUUACGGGACUCGAUUCCGACAUAAGGAGACCGAGUUAUCGCCCAAUUUGCAAAACUCGCCAACACUUAGGCAAAAAGUCAAAAAAGAGGUCAAAAACCCACAUCGGCCGUCUGAAUGACACGCAAACACACACAUAGCAUCGCGCAGGUAAUAGACACACGUUAGAACUUAUGGGACUCGAUUCCGACAUACGGAGACUGAGUUAUCGCAAAACUCGCCAACACUUAGGCAAAAAGACGAAAAAAUAGGUCAAAACUCGCAUCGACUGUCCGAAUGACAUGCAAACACACACAUAGCACCGCGUAGGUAAUAGACACGCGUUAGAACUUACGGGACUCGAUUCCGACAUAAGGAGACCGAGUUAUCGCCCAAUUUGCAAAACUCGCCAACACUUAGGCAAAAAGUCAAAAAAGAGGUCAAAACCCGCAUCGGCUGUCCGAAUGACACCCAAACACACAUAUAGCACUGCGUAGGUAAUAGACACGCGUUAAAACUUACUGGACUCGAUU
RNAcentral lists this long non-coding RNA (11500 nucleotides) under Panax ginseng (ginseng). Its description in RNAcentral is "long non-coding RNA (PGIN_LNC017431)". Lineage: Eukaryota; Viridiplantae; Streptophyta; Magnoliopsida; Apiales; Araliaceae. The record is from RNAcentral.